GGCAGUCUCUAAGGCAUACCCCCAGAAUGAGAUUGGUAGCGUAGCUCGACUCAUCAUGGAACGAACCAUAUCCAACAAGGUUCGAUUACGCCUCUCAGCCACACCAUUCAACUGUGGUGUCCUGGGAGGUGUCAAUUGUGAGACUAUCCCACAUUCCCUUAGAUAGUCGAGGAACUCUGAACUAAGAUACUCACCACCACGAUCGGAUCGAAGCAUCUUAAUGUUCCUGCCCAAUUGAUUCUCGACUUCCUGUUUAAAUUCCUUAAACCUCUCGAAAGUCUCUGACUUAUGCUUGAUCAAGUAGACAUAUCCAUAUCUACUAUAAUCAUCAGUAAAAGUCAAAUAAUAACGAUUAGCAUCCCUUGUGGCAUGUUUGAAUGGUCCACACACAUCCGUGUGUAUAAGGUCCAACAAACCUUCACCCCUUUCACACGAGCCUGUGAAGGGUGACUUUGUCAUUUUUCCAAGUAAGCAUGAUUCGCAACUAUCAUCUGACUUUAGGUCAAAUGACUCCAAGACUCCAUCCUUUUGGAGUUGGCCUAUGCGUUUCUUGCUUAUAUGUCCAAGACGACAAUGCCAUAAUGAUGCUUGAUCCAAGUUAUUAUUAUUAACAGAAUCAACACACAAUACGUUAUUUCCUAAGUUAUCAACCACAGAUACAGUUUCAUAUACGCCAUCACAAAGUAAUGCUUUAAAAUAAAGAACAUUAUUAAAGGUUAUUUCCUAAGUUAUCAACCACAGAUACAGUUUCAUAUACGCCAUCACAAAGUAAUGCUUUAAAAUAAAGAACAUUAUUAAAGAAAGCAUUAAUCGAACCAACUUCAUUAUCAAAUGAAAAGGUGAAACCUUGUUUAUACAAAGCAUGAAAGGAAAUAAU
RNAcentral lists this long non-coding RNA (877 nucleotides) under Lactuca sativa (garden lettuce). RNAcentral describes it as "long non-coding RNA (LSAT_LNC009780)". The record is from RNAcentral. Lineage: Eukaryota; Viridiplantae; Streptophyta; Magnoliopsida; Asterales; Asteraceae.